This is a long non-coding RNA of Clupea harengus (Atlantic herring), 1085 nucleotides long. The record is from Ensembl. NCBI's taxonomy places the organism in Eukaryota, Metazoa, Chordata, Actinopteri, Clupeiformes, Clupeidae.
GGGGGGGGGUGAAGAUAUUUGUGCAUGUCACUCAAACGGAGGUGAAAAAAAUGACAAUAACUUUAAAAUCAUCUCUUCUGGAACAGCCUGCGUUACCAUCUCCAAGAGUCCAAUCAUUUCCAUCUAUGGUCAUGCCCCUUCUAGGUAGGACAACAAUACAGCGGACACUUUCAAAUGAACGUCACUUUCAAAUUACAAGCAGCAUCGUCAGAUAGACUGUAGCAUAGAACUAGAUCUAAGUGUGGACUUCUACAUGGUACCUUUUUAUUACCAGAUGAUGUGGCAUUCAAUAGUGAUCAUGCAUAUCCAAAUACCCCUGAAGUUAAAGGGGACCAUUCACAAGGUAGGAUAUAUAUUCACUCACUUGUGUUCAUUUCUGAGCAACAACAAAUGGAAACACAAAUGAAUGGGAGGAUGCUGCACUGUUAAAGAAACUAAAACAUCAGGAUUCAAACCUCUCCCAGCCAGAGCAGCUAGGUCUGAUCAGAGAGCACUGUCACAGUGGCAUUAGACCAGCUAGGUCUGAUCAGAGAGCACCUUCACAGUGGCAUUAGCAGAGCAUGGCAACUAAAUGCUUUCUUUACGCGUAUGAAACUGUUAAAGACAAAAUCUGAAACAAACUUUCUCUCCAUUUUGCCAUUAUUUAUAAAAUAAAACGGCAAAGUGCAUUAUUUGAAUUAAGCAGAAAUGCUUGAAAAAUUGUGGAGGAAUGCUACCUAUGAAGCAGGAUAUACUAUUAAUAUUUGUCAAAGGAUUUUUCUUUGAACUGGAAUCCCCUCUGGUGAUAAUUGGUUCAAUUGUGCAGAUGACCUAUAAUAGUUUAUAAAUGAAAUCUGUAUGGCAUAUUCCCACAAUGCUGCACUUAGUGCAUGUCAAGCAUUAAAUGACAGUUAUAUAACUCAGUAGAUUACACCCUUUUCAUGUGACAAUUCAUGGUCUACAGGACAAAACUGCAGAACCAUAUUUCUAGCAUUUAAAACGAACUAUUUUACCAGAAAAUAAAUAGAAUAGAAAAGGUGAUUAAUAGAAAUCACCUCAAGGCCUGAUAUAUACGGGCGGAAAAUAAUAUGUGUCUGUUAUGGCGG